RNAcentral lists this ribosomal RNA (168 nucleotides) under uncultured bacterium. RNAcentral describes it as "partial 16S ribosomal RNA". It matches the Rfam family "Bacterial small subunit ribosomal RNA", at positions 1325 to 1500 of the family's 1533-position model. The record is from RNAcentral.
GCUGGAUUCGCUAGUAAUCGCGCAUCAGCCACGGCGCGGUGAAUACGUUCCCGGGCCUUGUACACACCGCCCGUCAAGUCAUGGAAGCCGGGGGUGCCUGAAGUGCGCUGCCGCGAGGAGCGCCCUAGGGUAAAACCGGUGACUGGGGCUAAGUCGUAACAAGGUAAC